GCAUUGGUGGUUCACUGGUGGAGUUCUGGCCUGCCGCCUGGGAGACCCAGGUUCAAUUCCUGGCCAGUGCC
RNAcentral lists this transfer RNA (71 nucleotides) under Loxodonta africana (African savanna elephant). It matches the Rfam family "tRNA". Rfam says of the family: Transfer RNA (tRNA) molecules are approximately 80 nucleotides in length. Their secondary structure includes four short double-helical elements and three loops (D, anti-codon, and T loops). Further hydrogen bonds mediate the characteristic L-shaped molecular structure. tRNAs have two regions of fundamental functional importance: the anti-codon, which is responsible for specific mRNA codon recognition, and the 3' end, to which the tRNAs corresponding amino acid is attached (by aminoacyl-tRNA synthetases). tRNAs cope with the degeneracy of the genetic code in two manners: having more than one tRNA (with a specific anti-codon) for a particular amino acid; and 'wobble' base-pairing, i.e. permitting non-standard base-pairing at the 3rd anti-codon position. Lineage: Eukaryota; Metazoa; Chordata; Mammalia; Proboscidea; Elephantidae. The record is from Rfam by way of RNAcentral.